UACGGGGGGGGCAAGCGUUGUUCGGAAUUACUGGGCGUAAAGGGCGCGUAGGCGGCCUUCUAAGUCGGACGUGAAAUCCCUCGGCUCAACCGAGGAACUGCGUCCGAUACUGAAAGGCUUGAAUCCGGGAGAGGGAUGUGGAAUUCCAGGUGUAGCGGUGAAAUGCGUAGAUAUCUGGAGGAACACCGGUGGCGAAGGCGGCAUCCUGGACCGGUAUUGACGCUGAGGCGCGAAAGCUAGGGGAGCAAACGGG
This 253-nucleotide ribosomal RNA is filed under the name uncultured bacterium. RNAcentral's name for it is "partial 16S ribosomal RNA". It matches the Rfam family "Bacterial small subunit ribosomal RNA", at positions 524 to 776 of the family's 1533-position model. The record is from RNAcentral.